Dioscorea cayenensis subsp. rotundata (Guinea yam) is the source of this 1137-nucleotide long non-coding RNA. RefSeq lists it as uncharacterized. The record is from RefSeq and is a predicted model, not a curated record. NCBI's taxonomy places the organism in Eukaryota, Viridiplantae, Streptophyta, Magnoliopsida, Dioscoreales, Dioscoreaceae. The transcript is spliced from 3 exons.
UUGUGAGAUUGAGCAAUUUCUCUACCGGGAUCUCAUAGGGGACUAGUAUCGAUGGCCGGGAGGCAGGGACCAAUUGUUCUUGGAUUACCUCAACUUGAUUAAUUCGGUUUAAAGAUAUAUGGUAAAUCAUGUGCUUUAUGUUAGAUCCUAGGGGAGCAUUGCCCGGGUACCUCAUCUUUAUUAAUUGAGACUUUCCUUAUUUUCUACUUUUCCUUUGCUUGCUUGCUUGCGAUAUUCAUAUUCUUGCAAUUGAGUCCAUUUCACCAUACUCUUGAUUCCAACUAGAUAACUGAGAAAUAGUUACUACUAAUACUUCAGUUCCCUAUGGAUUUGACUACCCGACUCAUUGGAUACUUUAUUACCUCAACAUCCAUGCACUUACGGUACACGCAUGCAAAUUGGUGUGUCAAUACUAUAGUUGUAAAACUCUCUUCUUCUUGAUGUGGAACAUCAAUGAGGACAUGGGUACCACAUCAGUCCAUGUGGUAUUAUUUUGCUAACAUAUAAUGAUCACAACAUGUAUCUGUACAUGUGCUGAUGGAUGAUAUGCUUAAUGUGAGACUGUAAGAACAAUUCUAUUAGAAGCUUCUCAUUUUUUCAGUAAUUUGCAAAUUGCAUUGUGAAAGGCUAUGAAUGUAUCACUAAUAUAAUUGACUCUAGGCAUUAAUAUUUAUUUUUUUGAAAUAUCAAUAUUUUUUUUUUAGUUGGUGAUCUGUGCAGUUUAUUGAAGUGAUCUAUUGACAGUAAAGCAUGGUUUUCAAAAACAAAAAAGUACCACUGCAGCUGAGGGUAUGGGAAUCUCAGUAUUCUUAGAUGAUGCAUGGUUCUUGAAGGACAUAUUUUUGUAUCGCCUAUGCAAGACCAGAAAACUUAAAGGAUGACUAGAACACAUAUUUGGCUGAGAUUUUGAGAAGAGCGGUCUUGAUGUUAUGUGUGAAGAUGGGGAUGAGUAUGCGCCAGUGGUUUUACCUCCAGAUGAUGCUAUGCAUGUUAAAGACCAAGCUAAUUAAUUAGCACUUAGGAACAAAUAAUUAGAAAAUCUUUUUUUAAAUGUGGCAUGGCAAUUGACAGAUAUUCCUGAUCUUUUGCAGAGAUAUAGAAGAAAAAUUAUUGAAAUGUGGUGAUAGCAAUGCCCAC